Molecule: ribosomal RNA, 420 nt
Filed under: uncultured Nitrososphaerota archaeon
Lineage: Archaea; Thermoproteati; Nitrososphaerota
Description: bacterial SSU rRNA
Rfam family: Archaeal small subunit ribosomal RNA
Source: RNAcentral
CAGCCGCCGCGGUAAUACCAGCACCCCGAGUGGUCGGGACGAUUAUUGGGCCUAAAGCAUCCGUAGCCGGUCCUGCAAGUCCUCCGUUAAAUCCACCCGCUCAACGGUUGGGCCGCGGGGGAUACUACAGGGCUAGGAGGUGGGAGAGGCAAGCGGUACUCGAUGGGUAGGGGUAAAAUCCACUGAUCCAUUGAAGACCACCAGUAGCGAAGGCGGCUUGCCAGAACGCGCUCGACGGUGAGGGAUGAAAGCUGGGGGAGCAAACCGGAUUAGAUACCCGGGUAGUCCCAGCUGUAGACGAUGCAGACUCGGCGAUGGGCUGGCUUCGUGCCAACCCGGUGCCGCAGGGAAGCCGUUAAGUCUACCGCCUGGGGAGUACGGUCGCAAGACUGAAACUUAAAGGAAUUGGUGGGGGAGCAC